GCCCGGAUAGCUCAGUCGGUAGAGCAUCAGACUUUUAAUCUGAGGGUCCAUCGUUCAACUCCUUGUUCGGGCG
RNAcentral lists this transfer RNA (73 nucleotides) under Callorhinchus milii (elephant shark). RNAcentral's name for it is "tRNA-Lys (TTT) (tRNA-Lys-TTT-18-1)". It matches the Rfam family "tRNA". From Rfam's summary of the family: Transfer RNA (tRNA) molecules are approximately 80 nucleotides in length. The record is from RNAcentral. Lineage: Eukaryota; Metazoa; Chordata; Chondrichthyes; Chimaeriformes; Callorhinchidae.